UAGAGUUUGAUCCUGGCUCAGGACGAACGCUGGCGGCGUGCCUAAUACAUGCAAGUCGAGCGGAGAUUUGAAAAGCUUGCUUUUCAAAUCUUAGCGGCGGACGGGUGAGUAACACGUGGGCAACCUGCCCUUGAGACGGGGAUAACUCCGGGAAACCGGAGCUAAUACCGGAUAACACAUAUCUUCGCAUGAGGAUAUGUUAGAAGGUGGCUUUUAGCUACCACUCAAGGAUGGGCCCGCGGCGCAUUAGCUAGUUGGUGAGGUAACGGCUCACCAAGGCGACGAUGCGUAGCCGACCUGAGAGGGUGAUCGGCCACACUGGGACUGAGACACGGCCCAGACUCCUACGGGAGGCAGCAGUAGGGAAUCUUCCGCAAUGGACGAAAGUCUGACGGAGCAACGCCGCGUGAGUGAUGAAGGUUUUCGGAUCGUAAAGCUCUGUUGUUAGGGAAGAACAAGUACCUGUUAAAUAAGCAGGUACCUUGACGGUACCUAACCAGAAAGCCACGGCUAACUACGUGCCAGCAGCCGCGGUAAUACGUAGGUGGCAAGCGUUGUCCGGAAUUAUUGGGCGUAAAGCGCGCGCAGGCGGUUCCUUAAGUCUGAUGUGAAAGCCCACGGCUCAACCGUGGAGGGUCAUUGGAAACUGGGGAACUUGAGUGCAGAAGAGGAGAGCGGAAUUCCACGUGUAGCGGUGAAAUGCGUAGAGAUGUGGAGGAACACCAGUGGCGAAGGCGGCUCUCUGGUCUGUAACUGACGCUGAGGCGCGAAAGCGUGGGGAGCGAACAGGAUUAGAUACCCUGGUAGUCCACGCCGUAAACGAUGAGUGCUAAGUGUUAGAGGGUUUCCGCCCUUUAGUGCUGCAGCAAACGCAUAAGCACUCCGC
This 886-nucleotide ribosomal RNA is filed under the name Priestia filamentosa. Its description in RNAcentral is "bacterial SSU rRNA". It matches the Rfam family "Bacterial small subunit ribosomal RNA", at positions 1 to 872 of the family's 1533-position model. The record is from RNAcentral. Lineage: Bacteria; Bacillati; Bacillota; Bacilli; Caryophanales; Bacillaceae.